This 245-nucleotide ribosomal RNA is filed under the name uncultured Hyphomicrobiales bacterium. RNAcentral describes it as "uncultured Rhizobiales bacterium partial 16S ribosomal RNA". It matches the Rfam family "Bacterial small subunit ribosomal RNA", at positions 524 to 768 of the family's 1533-position model. The record is from RNAcentral. Lineage: Bacteria; Pseudomonadati; Pseudomonadota; Alphaproteobacteria; Hyphomicrobiales.
UACGAAGGGGGCUAGCGUUGUUCGGAAUCACUGGGCGUAAAGGGUGCGUAGGCGGGAUCUUAAGUCAGGGGUGAAAUCCCGAGGCUCAACCUCGGAACUGCCUUUGAUACUGGGGUCCUUGAGUCCGGAAGAGGUGAGUGGAACUGCGAGUGUAGAGGUGAAAUUCGUAGAUAUUCGCAAGAACACCGGUGGCGAAGGCGGCUCACUGGUCCGGAACUGACGCUGAGGCACGACAGCGUGGGGAG